Molecule: ribosomal RNA, 729 nt
Filed under: uncultured eukaryote
Lineage: Eukaryota
Description: SSU rRNA
Rfam family: Eukaryotic small subunit ribosomal RNA
Source: RNAcentral
CGGGUGCACUGAUCCAGCCGGGCCUUUCCCUCUGUGGAACCCCAUGGCCUUCACUGGCUGUGGUGGGGAAACAGGACUUUUACUUUGAAAAAAUUAGAGUGCUCCAGGCAGGCCUAUGCUCGAAUACAUUAGCAUGGAAUAAUAGAAUAGGACGUGUGGUUCUAUUUUGUUGGUUUCUAGGACCGCCGUAAUGAUUAAUAGGGACAGUCGGGGGCAUCAGUAUUCAAUUGUCAGAGGUGAAAUUCUUGGAUCUAUUGAAGACUAACUACUGCGAAAGCAUUUGCCAAGGAUGUUUUCAUUGAUAAGGAACGAAAGUUAGGGGAUCGAAGACGAUCAGAUACCGUCGUAGUCUUAACUAUAAACUAUGCCGACUAGGGAUCGGACGAUGUUAUUCUUUGACGCGUUCGGCACCUUUCGAGAAAUCAAAGUGCUUGGGCUCCAGGGGGAGUAUGGUCGCAAGGCUGAAACUUAAAGAAAUUGACGGAAGGGCACCACCAGGGGUGGAACCUGCGGCUUAAUUUGACUCAACACGGGGAAACUCACCAGGUCCAGACACAGUGAGGAUUGACAGAUUGAGAGCUCUUUCUUGAUUCUGUGGGUGGUGGUGCAUGGCCGUUCUUAGUUGGUGGAGUGAUUUGUCUGCUUAAUUGCGAUAACGAACGAGACCUUAACCUGCUAAAUAGCCCGUACUGCUUUGGCAGUUCGCCGGCUUCUUAGAGGGACUAUCGA